RNAcentral lists this long non-coding RNA (451 nucleotides) under Trifolium pratense (red clover). RNAcentral's name for it is "long non-coding RNA (TPRA_LNC008171)". The record is from RNAcentral. Lineage: Eukaryota; Viridiplantae; Streptophyta; Magnoliopsida; Fabales; Fabaceae.
UGUAUUUUCUCCUUGUAUUUAACUAUAAUUAGCCUUUAACUAGCUUGGUUAGAUUAGAGAUAGACAGUUACAAUUUCUCAACUGUUCUUUGGUUAGUUAAGCUUACUUUACCAAUACCGACGACGUAUAGGUUACACUACUUUUGUGCAUUUUAUCAAAUUGAUCAAUGAAUUCCAUCUUUUCCUUUAGUUCUUCUCAGCAUACCAAGAGAUACCAUUCUCCCAUCUAAUUUUGAUUCAACUUGGAGAAACCAAUCAAAAGGAUCCUCCUCCUCCCUAAGAAUGCACAGGUUUCAUUUUAUUGGUUCAAAUCAGCAUCUAUUGACAGAAAAAUCAACUACUAUUCUAUAUCCAUCAAUUACAUCACAAUCACACGAAUGAUUAUACCAUGUCACAAAAAUCAACUACCAUUCCACAUCACAAUCACACGAAUUUGAAUAUGUCAACCUAGC